This 437-nucleotide ribosomal RNA is filed under the name uncultured Clostridium sp. Its description in RNAcentral is "partial 16S ribosomal RNA". It matches the Rfam family "Bacterial small subunit ribosomal RNA", at positions 341 to 792 of the family's 1533-position model. Lineage: Bacteria; Bacillati; Bacillota; Clostridia; Eubacteriales; Clostridiaceae. The record is from RNAcentral.
ACGGAAGGCAGCAGUGGGGGAUAUUGCACAGUGGAGGAAACUCUGAUGCAGCAACGCCGCGUGAGGGAAGACGGUCUUCGGAUUGUAAACCUAGGUUAACAGGGACGAAUAAAAUGACGGUACCUGAAGAGAAAGCUCCGGCUAACUACGUGCCAGCAGCCGCGGUAAUACGUAGGGAGCGAGCGUUGUCCGGAUUUACUGGGUGUAAAGGGUGCGUAGGCGGGUUUGCAAGUCAGGCGUGAAAUCCCACGGCUUAACUGUGGGGCUGCGCUUGAAACUGUAGAUCUUGAGUGAAGUAGAGGCAAGCGGAAUUCCUAGUGUAGCGGUGAAAUGCGUAGAUAUUAGGAGGAACACCAGUGGCGAAGGCGGCUCGCUGGGCUUUAACUGACGCUGAGGCACGAAAGUAUGGGGAGCAAACAGGAUUAGAUACCCUGGUA